CUUUAAAACAAUGUGAUAAUCAGCUGGGCGGGACGGCUGCCAAAGACCAUCCUGCUAAUCCUAGGUGGCAGUCCCCUCCCCUCCCCCAUCUCUGAAGCUGCCUGCUCUGGUAGCAGCCCCUCUCGUUCAAGAAGCCAGCCUCCCUGAUCCCCUGGCUCGCUGGGAGGAGGGCACCAGCCCAGGUUCUGUUUUCCCUGCCUCUGGUUGCCAGGGAAACAAGCGAAGAGGACCGCAGCCAGAGAGCUGUUAGCUGCCUUUUUAAGGCGCCCUGGACAUAAACAGCACUUUCCAUAAUGGAAGCUGGGCACGGAGGCUUAAAAAAACCAAAACAAUACAGAAGAGGAGGCUAAAGUGGGAAACAGUCGGGGUGGGGUCCCCACCAGGUUAAUGGGAGAGUAAAAGAAGAAAUAAAAAUC
This 416-nucleotide long non-coding RNA is filed under the name Homo sapiens (human). Its description in RNAcentral is "HSALNT0391867". Lineage: Eukaryota; Metazoa; Chordata; Mammalia; Primates; Hominidae. The record is from RNAcentral.